GCAAACUUGGUCAUUUAGAGGAAGUAAAAGUCGUAACAAGGUUUCCGUAGGUGAACCUGCGGAAGGAUCAUUACCGAGUUAGGGUACCCCGCGUGCCCGACCUCCCAACCCUUUGCUUACUUGACCUUUUGUUGCUUCGGCAGGCCCGCCUCCGGGCCGCCGGGAGUCGGUGACACGCUCCUGGUCAGUCUCGCCUGCCGACGGCCCCAAAUCUUCAAAAACUCUUGUUUAAACGUGUCGUCUGAGUACUUUUGUCUCAAAGCAAAAAAAAAAAAAUUGUAAACAAAACUUUCAACAACGGAUCUCUUGGUUCUGGCAUCGAUGAAGAACGCAGC
This 335-nucleotide unclassified non-coding RNA is filed under the name uncultured fungus. Its description in RNAcentral is "partial contains small subunit ribosomal RNA, internal transcribed spacer 1, and 5.8S ribosomal RNA". The stretch from base 1 to 73 matches the Rfam family "Eukaryotic small subunit ribosomal RNA", at positions 1759 to 1831 of the family's 1831-position model. Lineage: Eukaryota; Fungi. The record is from RNAcentral.